AAUGAACGCUGGCGGCGCGCCUAAUACAUGCAAGUCGAGCGAGAAGACGUAGCAAUACGUUUGUAAAGCGGCGAACGGGUGAGGAAUACAUGGGUAACCUACCCUCGAGUGGGGGAAUAACUAGCCGAAAGGUUAGCUAAUACCGCGUACGCUCCUUGGACUUCGGUUCAGGGAGGAAAGCGAUACCGUGGGUAUCGCGCUCUUGGUUGGGCUCAUGUCCUAUCAGCUUGUUGGUAAGGAACGGCUCACCAAGGCUUCGACGGGUAGCUGGUCUGAGAGGACGAUCAGCCACACUGGCACUGCGACACGGGCCAGAC
This 317-nucleotide ribosomal RNA is filed under the name uncultured bacterium. RNAcentral describes it as "bacterial SSU rRNA". It matches the Rfam family "Bacterial small subunit ribosomal RNA", at positions 29 to 336 of the family's 1533-position model. The record is from RNAcentral.